GGGUUGUGAGGUUAAGCGACUAAGCGUACACGGUGGAUGCCCUGGCAGUCAGAGGCGAUGAAGGACGUGCUAAUCUGCGAUAAGCGUCGGUAAGGUGAUAUGAACCGUUAUAACCGGCGAUUUCCGAAUGGGGAAACCCAGUGUGUUUCGACACACUAUCAUUAACUGAAUCCAUAGGUUAAUGAGGCGAACCGGGGGAACUGAAACAUCUAAGUACCCCGAGGAAAAGAAAUCAACCGAGAUUCCCCCAGUAGCGGCGAGCGAACGGGGAGCAGCCCAGAGCCUGAAUCAGUGUGUGUGUUAGUGGAAGCGUCUGGAAAGGCGCGCGAUACAGGGUGACAGCCCCGUACACAAAAAUGCACAUACUGUGAGCUCGAUGAGUAGGGCGGGACACGUGGUAUCCUGUCUGAAUAUGGGGGGACCAUCCUCCAAGGCUAAAUACUCCUGACUGACCGAUAGUGAACCAGUACCGUGAGGGAAAGGCGAAAAGAACCCCGGCGAGGGGAGUGAAAAAGAACCUGAAACCGUGUACGUACAAGCAGUGGGAGCCUCUUUAUGGGGUGACUGCGUACCUUUUGUAUAAUGGGUCAGCGACUUAUAUUCUGUAGCAAGGUUAACCGAAUAGGGGAGCCGAAGGGAAACCGAGUCUUAACUGGGCGUUAAGUUGCAGGGUAUAGACCCGAAACCCGGUGAUCUAGCCAUGGGCAGGUUGAAGGUUGGGUAACACUAACUGGAGGACCGAACCGACUAAUGUUGAAAAAUUAGCGGAUGACUUGUGGCUGGGGGUGAAAGGCCAAUCAAACCGGGAGAUAGCUGGUUCUCCCCGAAAGCUAUUUAGGUAGCGCCUCGUGAAUUCAUCUCCGGGGGUAGAGCACUGUUUCGGCAAGGGGGUCAUCCCGACUUACCAACCCGAUGCAAACUGCGAAUACCGGAGAAUGUUAUCACGGGAGACACACGGCGGGUGCUAACGUCCGUCGUGAAGAGGGAAACAACCCAGACCGCCAGCUAAGGUCCCAAAGUCAUGGUUAAGUGGGAAACGAUGUGGGAAGGCCCAGACAGCCAGGAUGUUGGCUUAGAAGCAGCCAUCAUUUAAAGAAAGCGUAAUAGCUCACUGGUCGAGUCGGCCUGCGCGGAAGAUGUAACGGGGCUAAACCAUGCACCGAAGCUGCGGCAGCGACACUAUGUGUUGUUGGGUAGGGGAGCGUUCUGUAAGCCUGUGAAGGUGUACUGUGAGGUAUGCUGGAGGUAUCAGAAGUGCGAAUGCUGACAUAAGUAACGAUAAAGCGGGUGAAAAGCCCGCUCGCCGGAAGACCAAGGGUUCCUGUCCAACGUUAAUCGGGGCAGGGUGAGUCGACCCCUAAGGCGAGGCCGAAAGGCGUAGUCGAUGGGAAACAGGUUAAUAUUCCUGUACUUGGUGUUACUGCGAAGGGGGGACGGAGAAGGCUAUGUUGGCCGGGCGACGGUUGUCCCGGUUUAAGCGUGUAGGCUGGUUUUCCAGGCAAAUCCGGAAAAUCAAGGCUGAGGCGUGAUGACGAGGCACUACGGUGCUGAAGCAACAAAUGCCCUGCUUCCAGGAAAAGCCUCUAAGCAUCAGGUAACAUCAAAUCGUACCCCAAACCGACACAGGUGGUCAGGUAGAGAAUACCAAGGCGCUUGAGAGAACUCGGGUGAAGGAACUAGGCAAAAUGGUGCCGUAACUUCGGGAGAAGGCACGCUGAUAUGUAGGUGAAGCGACUUGCUCGUGGAGCUGAAAUCAGUCGAAGAUACCAGCUGGCUGCAACUGUUUAUUAAAAACACAGCACUGUGCAAACACGAAAGUGGACGUAUACGGUGUGACGCCUGCCCGGUGCCGGAAGGUUAAUUGAUGGGGUCAGCGCAAGCGAAGCUCUUGAUCGAAGCCCCGGUAAACGGCGGCCGUAACUAUAACGGUCCUAAGGUAGCGAAAUUCCUUGUCGGGUAAGUUCCGACCUGCACGAAUGGCGUAAUGAUGGCCAGGCUGUCUCCACCCGAGACUCAGUGAAAUUGAACUCGCUGUGAAGAUGCAGUGUACCCGCGGCAAGACGGAAAGACCCCGUGAACCUUUACUAUAGCUUGACACUGAACAUUGAGCCUUGAUGUGUAGGAUAGGUGGGAGGCUUUGAAGUGUGGACGCCAGUCUGCAUGGAGCCGACCUUGAAAUACCACCCUUUAAUGUUUGAUGUUCUAACGUGGACCCGUAAUCCGGGUUGCGGACAGUGUCUGGUGGGUAGUUUGACUGGGGCGGUCUCCUCCUAAAGAGUAACGGAGGAGCACGAAGGUUGGCUAAUCCUGGUCGGACAUCAGGAGGUUAGUGCAAUGGCAUAAGCCAGCUUGACUGCGAGCGUGACGGCGCGAGCAGGUGCGAAAGCAGGUCAUAGUGAUCCGGUGGUUCUGAAUGGAAGGGCCAUCGCUCAACGGAUAAAAGGUACUCCGGGGAUAACAGGCUGAUACCGCCCAAGAGUUCAUAUCGACGGCGGUGUUUGGCACCUCGAUGUCGGCUCAUCACAUCCUGGGGCUGAAGUAGGUCCCAAGGGUAUGGCUGUUCGCCAUUUAAAGUGGUACGCGAGCUGGGUUUAGAACGUCGUGAGACAGUUCGGUCCCUAUCUGCCGUGGGCGCUGGAGAACUGAGGGGGGCUGCUCCUAGUACGAGAGGACCGGAGUGGACGCAUCACUGGUGUUCGGGUUGUCAUGCCAAUGGCACUGCCCGGUAGCUAAAUGCGGAAGAGAUAAGUGCUGAAAGCAUCUAAGCACGAAACUUGCCCCGAGAUGAGUUCUCCCUGACCCUUUAAGGGUCCUGAAGGAACGUUGAAGACGACGACGUUGAUAGGCCGGGUGUGUAAGCGCAGCGAUGCGUUGAGCUAACCGGUACUAAUGAACCGUGAGGCUUAACCUUACAACGCCGAAGCUGUU
RNAcentral lists this ribosomal RNA (2928 nucleotides) under Escherichia coli. Its description in RNAcentral is "bacterial LSU rRNA". It matches the Rfam family "Bacterial large subunit ribosomal RNA". The record is from RNAcentral. Lineage: Bacteria; Pseudomonadati; Pseudomonadota; Gammaproteobacteria; Enterobacterales; Enterobacteriaceae.